Molecule: ribosomal RNA, 263 nt
Filed under: Ehrlichia sp. Ibadan_B31
Lineage: Bacteria; Pseudomonadati; Pseudomonadota; Alphaproteobacteria; Rickettsiales; Anaplasmataceae
Description: partial 16S ribosomal RNA
Rfam family: Bacterial small subunit ribosomal RNA
Source: RNAcentral
ACUGUAUAAUCCCUGCGGGGGAAAGAUUUAUCGCUAUUAGAUGAGCCUACGUUAGAUUAGCUAGUUGGUAAGGUAAUGGCUUACCAAGGCUAUGAUCUAUAGCUGGUCUGAGAGGACGAUCAGCCACACUGGAACUGAGAUACGGUCCAGACUCCUACGGGAGGCAGCAGUGGGGAAUAUUGGACAAUGGGCGAAAGCCUGAUCCAGCUAUGCCGCGUGAGUGAGAAAGGCCUUCGGGUUGUAAAGCUCUUUCAAUAGGGAAG